UAGAUCUUAAAUGAGUUUAAUUGCAAAUUAAAUUUAGCUUAAAGCCAGAUCU
This 52-nucleotide transfer RNA is filed under the name Tachaea chinensis. Its description in RNAcentral is "tRNA-Cys". Lineage: Eukaryota; Metazoa; Arthropoda; Malacostraca; Isopoda; Corallanidae. The record is from RNAcentral.